AGUUUGAUCCUGGCUCAGGAUGAACGCUGACAGAAUGCUUAACACAUGCAAGUCGAUUCAAGUUACCUUCGGGUAAUGAGGAUGGCGGACGGGUGAGUAACGCGUAAGGAACUUGCCUCUUGGUCUGGGACAACUGUUGGAAACGACAGCUAAUACCGGAUAUUAUGAGAUUCUCGCAUGGGAAACUUAUGAAAGCUAUAUGCGCCAAGAGAGAGCCUUGCGUUCCAUUAGCUAGUUGGUGGGGUAAUGGCCCACCAAGGCGACGAUGGAUAGCCGGCCUGAGAGGGUGAACGGCCACAAGGGGACUGAGACACGGCCCUUACUCCUACGGGAGGCAGCAGUGGGGAAUAUUGGACAAUGGGCCACAAGCCUGAUCCAGCAAUUCUGUGUGCACGAUGAAGGUCUUCGGAUUGUAAAGUGCUUUCAGUUGGGAAGAAGAAAGUGACGGUACCAACAGAAGAAGCGACGGCUAAAUACGUGCCAGCAGCCNCGGUAAUACGUAUGUCGCAAGCGUUAUCCGGAUUUAUUGNGCGUAAAGCGCGUCUAGGCGGAAAAAUAAGUCUGAUGUUNAAAUGCGGGGCUCAACUCCGUAUUGCGUUGGAAANUGUUUUUCUAGAGUACUGGAGAGGUGGG
RNAcentral lists this ribosomal RNA (633 nucleotides) under uncultured prokaryote. Its description in RNAcentral is "bacterial SSU rRNA". It matches the Rfam family "Bacterial small subunit ribosomal RNA", at positions 10 to 661 of the family's 1533-position model. The record is from RNAcentral.